UUGGUUAAGUUAGAAAGGGCGCACGGUGGAUGCCUUGGCACUAGGAGCCGAAGAAGGACGGGACUAACACCGAUAUGCUUUGGGGAGCUGUACGUAAGCGUUGAUCCAGAGAUUUCCGAAUGGGGGAACCCACUAUCUUUAGUCGGAUAGUAUCCUUACGUGAAUACAUAGCGUGAGGAAGGCAGACCCAGGGAACUGAAACAUCUAAGUACCUGGAGGAAGAGAAAGAAAAAUCGAUUUCCUGAGUAGCGGCGAGCGAAACGGAAAGAGCCCAAACCAAGAAGCUUGCUUCUUGGGGUUGUAGGACACUCUAUACGGAGUUACAAAAGAAAGUUAUAAAUGAAGCGGUCUGGAAAGGCCCGCCAAAGACGGUAACAGCCCGGUAGUUGAAAUGGCUUUCCCUCCAGAGUGGAUCCUGAGUACGGCGGAACACGUGAAAUUCCGUCGGAAUCCGGGAGGACCAUCUCCCAAGGCUAAAUACUCCCUAGUGACCGAUAGUGAACCAGUACCGUGAGGGAAAGGUGAAAAGCACCCCGGAAGGGGAGUGAAACAGUUCCUGAAACCGUGUGCCUACAAGUAGUUAGAGCCCGUUAAUGGGUGAUAGCGUGCCUUUUGUAGAAUGAACCGGCGAGUUACGAUUUGUUGCAAGGUUAAGCGGAAAAAGCGGAGCCGUAGCGAAAGCGAGUCUGAAUAGGGCGCAUAAGUAACAGGUCGUAGACCCGAAACCAGGUGAUCUACCCAUGUCCAGGAUGAAGGUAAGGUAAUACUUACUGGAGGUCCGAACCCACGCACGUUGAAAAGUGCGGGGAUGAGGUGUGGGUAGCGGAGAAAUUCCAAUCGAACUUGGAGAUAGCUGGUUCUCUCCGAAAUAGCUUUAGGGCUAGCCUCGAGGUAAAGAGUCAUGGAGGUAGAGCACUGUUUGGACUAGGGGCCCUUCUCGGGUUACCGAAUUCAGAUAAACUCCGAAUGCCAUGUACUUAUACUCGGGAGUCAGACUGCGAGUGAUAAGAUCCGUAGUCGAAAGGGAAACAGCCCAGACCACCAGUUAAGGUCCCCAAAUAUAUGUUAAGUGGAAAAGGAUGUGGGGUUGCUUAGACAACCAGGAUGUUGGCUUAGAAGCAGCCACCAUUGAAAGAGUGCGUAAUAGCUCACUGGUCGAGUGACCCCGCGCCGAAAAUGU
This 1180-nucleotide ribosomal RNA is filed under the name Listeria monocytogenes. RNAcentral describes it as "partial 23S ribosomal RNA". It matches the Rfam family "Bacterial large subunit ribosomal RNA", at positions 1 to 1173 of the family's 2925-position model. The record is from RNAcentral. Lineage: Bacteria; Bacillati; Bacillota; Bacilli; Caryophanales; Listeriaceae.